GGAUAGCUCAGUUGGUGGAGCAUGAGACUCUUAAUCUCAGGGUUAAUCUCUUAAACUCAGGGUUCUGGGUUCGAGCCCAAUGUUGGGCA
This is a non-coding RNA of Podarcis lilfordi (Lilford's wall lizard), 89 nucleotides long. NCBI's taxonomy places the organism in Eukaryota, Metazoa, Chordata, Lepidosauria, Squamata, Lacertidae. The record is from the annotation of a GenBank genome assembly.